UCUGGGUUAGUACUAGUAAAAUGGCGCACAAUUUGGAAAUUUCUUUGACGUGUUGUCGGAGAGAACAAAUAAAUAUGAUCAACGACUUAUUAUUAUUUUCUGACGACGAUGAAGAAAUCAUAGAAUACAUCAGCACGGAUUUUUACGACCGAAGAAUCGCAGAACGUACCGAUUACUUUAAUACACAUAGAGAUAAAGAGUUUCACAGAAGGUUUCGAUUAGAAAAACACAGUGUCGCAUUUUUAUUGAAUAAAAUCAAACACAGAUUGCAAUACGUAAAUCCCAAUAUCAGUGAAGCCUUGUCACCUAUGAAUCAAUUACUAUGCACACUACGAUAUUUUGCCACUGGAAGUCAACUUGUGACUUGCGGAGAUUUCAUUGGUGUGCACGAAUCGACCGCAUGUAGAACAAUUCAUAAAGUAACAGAUGCCAUAGCCCGGUUGUACCCAGAAUUCAUAGUUAUGCCUCGCACAGAAGAAGAGCUAAGACAAGCUGCAAUGAAAUUUUAUCAAAUUGCUCGGUUUCCACGUGCUAUUGGAGCUGUAGACUGCACUCAUGUACGAACGAAAUCUCCAGGAGGAGAAACUGCAGAGAUAUAUCGGAACAGGAAGGGUUACUUUUCAAUGAACACCCAAGCCAUCUGUUCUGCUGAUCUACUGUUUACCGAUGUUGUUGCACGCUGGCAUGGGUCUGCACACGAUUCGCA
Long non-coding RNA from Leguminivora glycinivorella, 706 nucleotides. RefSeq lists it as uncharacterized. The record is from RefSeq and is a predicted model, not a curated record. The transcript is spliced from 3 exons. NCBI's taxonomy places the organism in Eukaryota, Metazoa, Arthropoda, Insecta, Lepidoptera, Tortricidae.